RNAcentral lists this ribosomal RNA (479 nucleotides) under uncultured bacterium. Its description in RNAcentral is "bacterial SSU rRNA". It matches the Rfam family "Bacterial small subunit ribosomal RNA", at positions 28 to 507 of the family's 1533-position model. The record is from RNAcentral.
GAUGAACGCUAGCGGCAGGCUUAACACAUGCAAGUCGAGGGGUAGAAGGAGCUUGCUCCUUUGAGACCGGCGCACGGGUGCGUAACGCGUAUGCAAUCUACCUUUUGCAGAGGGAUAGCCCAGAGAAAUUUGGAUUAAUACCUCAUAGUAUGUGAGGAUGGCAUCAUUUUCACAUUAAAGUCACAACGGCAAAAGAUGAGCAUGCGUCCCAUUAGCUAGUUGGUAAGGUAACGGCUUACCAAGGCUACGAUGGGUAGGGGUCCUGAGAGGGAGAUCCCCCACACUGGUACUGAGACACGGACCAGACUCCUACGGGAGGCAGCAGUGAGGAAUAUUGGACAAUGGGCGCAAGCCUGAUCCAGCCAUGCCGCGUGCAGGAUGACGGUCCUAUGGAUUGUAAACUGCUUUAUACAGGAAGAAACCCUCCCACGUGUGGGAGCUUGACGGUACUGUAGGAAUAAGGAUCGGCUAACUCCGUG